GCAGAAGUGGUGGAAUUGGUAGACACGUUGGACUUAAAAUCCAAUGGGCAGCAAUGCCCGUGCGGGUUCAAGUCCCGCCUUCUGUACCA
This 89-nucleotide transfer RNA is filed under the name Pukyongia salina. Its description in RNAcentral is "tRNA-Leu". It matches the Rfam family "tRNA". From Rfam's summary of the family: Transfer RNA (tRNA) molecules are approximately 80 nucleotides in length. Their secondary structure includes four short double-helical elements and three loops (D, anti-codon, and T loops). Lineage: Bacteria; Pseudomonadati; Bacteroidota; Flavobacteriia; Flavobacteriales; Flavobacteriaceae. The record is from RNAcentral. RNAcentral also lists the same sequence under 1 other name.